RNAcentral lists this ribosomal RNA (433 nucleotides) under uncultured bacterium. RNAcentral describes it as "bacterial SSU rRNA". It matches the Rfam family "Bacterial small subunit ribosomal RNA", at positions 29 to 506 of the family's 1533-position model. The record is from RNAcentral.
GCGAACGCUGGCGGCAGGCCUAACACAUGCAAGUCGAGCGGCCGUAGCAAUACGGCAGCGGCAGACGGGAUAGUAACACGUGGGAACGUGCCCUUUGGUUCGGAAUAACUCGGCGAAAGCCGUGCUAAUACCGGAUAAGCCCUUACGGGGAAAGAUUUAUCGCCAUUGGAGCGGCCCGCGUCUGAUUAGCUAGUUGGUGAGGUAAUGGCUCACCAAGGCGACGAUCAGUAGCUGGUCUGAGAGGAUGAUCAGCAUCACUGGGACUGAGACACGGCCCAGACGCCUACGGGAGGCAGCAGUGGGGAAUCUUGCGCAAUGGGCGAAAGCCUGACGCAGCCAUGCCGCGUGUAUGAUGAAGGUCUUAGGAUUGUAAAAUACUUUCACCGGUGAAGAUAAUGACGGUAGCCGGAGAAGAAGCCCCGGCUAACUUCGU